This 800-nucleotide ribosomal RNA is filed under the name uncultured bacterium. RNAcentral's name for it is "bacterial SSU rRNA". It matches the Rfam family "Bacterial small subunit ribosomal RNA", at positions 8 to 781 of the family's 1533-position model. The record is from RNAcentral.
AGAGUUUGAUCCUGGCUCAGAACGAACGCUGGCGGCGUGGAUAAGACAUGCAAGUCGAACGCCGAUCACUGGGUAGCAAUAUUUGGUGGUUGGAGUGGCGCAAGGGUGCUUAACACGUGGGCAAUUUGCCGUGAAGUUUGGGAUAACCCCGAGAAAUCGGGGCUAAUACCGCAUGUGACCUUUGGUGGGCAUCCACUGGAGUUCAAAGCUGGGGACCGCAAGGCCUGGCGCUUUACGAUAAGCCCGCGGCCUAUCAGCUAGUUGGCGGGGUAACGGCCCACCAAGGCUAGGACGGGUAGCUGGUCUGAGAGGACGACCAGCCACACUGGAACUGAGACACGGUCCAGACACCUACGGGUGGCAGCAGUCGAGAAUUUUUCUCAAUGGGGGAAACCCUGAAGGAGCGACGCCGCGUGGGGGAUGAAUGGCUUCGGCCCGUAAACCCCUGUCAUUCGGGACCAAAUGUUGUUCAUGAACAAUGGGCAGCUUGAUUGUACCGGAAGAGGAAGGGACGGCUAACUCUGUGCCAGCAGCCGCGGUAAUACAGAGGUCCCAAGCGUUGUUCGGAUUUACUGGGCGUAAAGGGUGCGUAGGCGGUGGGGUAAGUUUGAGGUGAAAGCUCCGGGCUCAACCCGGAAACUGCCUUGAAUACUAUCCUGCUAGAGGGUUGGAGGGGAGACUGGAAUUCUCGGUGUAGCAGUGAAAUGCGUAGAUCUCGAGAGGAACACCAGUGGCGAAGGCGAGUCUCUGGACAACACCUGACGCUGAGGCACGAAAGCCAGGGGAGCAAACGGGAUUAG